RNAcentral lists this ribosomal RNA (380 nucleotides) under uncultured eukaryote. RNAcentral describes it as "partial 18S ribosomal RNA". It matches the Rfam family "Eukaryotic small subunit ribosomal RNA", at positions 592 to 976 of the family's 1831-position model. The record is from RNAcentral.
CAAUAGCGUAUAUUAAAGUUGUUGCGGUUAAAACGCUCGUAGUUGGAGUUCUGCCAGGUGCCGCCUGUCCGCCCCAGUGGUGAGUACGUGGCGCGCAUUUGGCCCUUUCAAGGGGAGCGUAUCUGCACUUUAUUGUGUGGUGCGGGAUCCUUGACUUUUACUUUGAGGAAAUAGGAGUGUUCCAAGCAGGCUCUCGUCGUGCACAGCUCAGCAUGGAAUAAUAGCAUUGGACCUCGAUUCUAAGCUGUUGGUUGCCAGAAGCGAGGUAAUGAUGAAGAGGGAUAGUUGGGGGCAUUCGUAUUUAACUGUCGGAGGUGAAAUUCUUGGAUUUGUUAAAGACGGACUACUGCGAAAGCAUCUGCCAUGGAUGUUUUCAUUGA